Molecule: long non-coding RNA, 2313 nt
Organism: Bubalus bubalis (water buffalo)
Lineage: Eukaryota; Metazoa; Chordata; Mammalia; Artiodactyla; Bovidae
Exons: 3
Source: RefSeq, a predicted model, not a curated record
ACAGGCAGGAACUUGAGAGCAGGUCUCUAGUGAGGAGCUCGUGUUUAACAUUUCUCCAUAGUCACCUGAGUUGGGUACUCUCCUGACCUUUGUACAAACUGUUGAAAAAAAACCUCUCUGAAACUGGUUUAUCAAGUAUAAGUCAUCAAAAACUAAGCCUUGCCUAAUCAGUUUUGAGCCUCUGUAUAAUAGGAGCCUUAACUUCAUGAUUGCAACACAAUUUAAAAUUACUCGGCUUACCUCAUUCCCAAAGUUGGCCUCUUCACAGUUUUCCAUGGAAACAUUCUAAUUCGACUAAAGGAUUGUGGCUUUUGAGUUCCUCUUCCCUUUCUGCCAUAAGGGUGGUGUCAUCUGCAUAUCUGAGGUUAUUGAUAUUUCUCCCGGAAAUCUUGAUUCCAGCUUGUGCUUCUUCCAGCCCAGCGUUUCUCAUGAUGUACUCUGCAUAUAAGUUAAAUGCAGAUCACUAAAGUCCCGUAAGUACCUGUGAGGGAAGGCUGCCUGAGGGAAGAGCCAAGAGGAUGGGAAUGGCGGAGUGAAAGAGUGGGAAGAACCUACACCACCCAUGACACAUCGAAGCCUCAGACUGUUCCUGCCUGGAGCCUGCCCAACCUGGGACCACCUCAUUCAAGCCAGUUUUGAGCCGUUUUCUAUUACCUGCAGUCGGUAGAAAUCUGACAACUUUCCUUCUCUUUGUGGUUAAAGAAGAAAAUUAUGUUUUAUAUGUGAAAAAGACACAGAUACCCAGAUUCCUUUUGGAAGUACAUUAGUGGCCAUAACAUAACUGGAGAUUAGCUUUCAAUGGACAUUGUUCAAGUUUUGGACACUUGAACUUUGGUAAGGAAAGAAGUGUAAUCAAUUACUGCAGCCAUUGGGUAACAGAAUUAUUUCGUUUUCCCUAAUGUAAGGUAGCCAACAUUACAGGAAUAGAAUAGCUUUAAAAAUAGAAACACUCAAAAGGAAAUGCCAUCAAAUCAUCAUGCAUUUUAAAAGAGCUAAGUUACAAAUAGAUUUAAAAAAAAAACAAUUGCUCUUCCUAGCAGUUCAACCAUUGCAAAGUGUUAACAGCUAGCAGAAAGACACUAGGGUGUGAACAGUGGCCUCCUCUUAUAAAAAGCAGGUUUUCCCAAAGAAAGAAAUAUAACAUUAUUAUGACUAUCCAACAUACAUGACUGUUUGAGUCAUUUUGUUAAUUUUCAAUUAAAUACAGCUCCUGUUUUCUGUUGCAAUGAGUUAACACAAUUAAAAUUUUCAUAUUAUUUUCAUCCUAUUUGUAAAAUAGUUUAUAUUAGAAUGUGUUUUAGGAUGAAAAUAGGUCCACAAAAACGGGGUAAGGAUAAACUUGAAUAUGAUUUCAAGUUUAGUCUAGAUAUAGUGUUAUAGGAUAUAAUUUCAAAGAUCAGAUGCCAGAUUUUAAUGCUAAUUAAAGUGGCUAUGACAUUCACUGCUCUAUUUAAUUGACUUAUAGCUGGGAUACUGACCAGGCCAUUUCUGCUCCCUAGAAUGCCUUUAUGCAAAUGAGACCAGGACAUGGCUUGGCAAGCAGAGCAAUGGGCUGGAUUCCAGUCCCUACUUGUCCAUUUGGCCAGGCAUUGUUGUGUGGUGAACAGCCAGCACAAACGUACUCGGGGGCCCUGGGUUGCAAAUUCCAAUGUUUAGGCGGACAAGUGUUAGAUAAUAAGGAGUGCAGAGAAUGGGCAGACUAGAGACCCCAUUUCUAAUCAUAGCUCCAGCUACUGUUUACAGGAGGGAAAGCAGACACAGUGUUUUCAGACCUCCCAAGUUUUGAAAGAGGCUGGAAGUCUAAUUCAGUUUAUUUAACACCAUGGACCCAAGCAACAUGUGUGUGAGGCCCAAAUUGAAAUUAUGGACUAGAUGCUUGUGACUCUGAUUUGAGCGCAUCACCACAGCUGCUUACUCAGAUUCCAUGGUUAUUCUGAUGCUGUUGGACUUGGGAAUGUGUGCGCUCUUGGAGGUGAUGGUGCAAGUGAGAGAUGUGGGACAGAGGUGAUUUGUCAUCCAAGGUAAGAUUCAGGUAGGAGAGGUCAUAGAUAUAGAUAUGAAGGGUGGGGGGGAAAGGUAAUAAAUGUGAUAUUAACUCUGAAGAAGAAAGGAGUGUAUAAGAUUAAGUACUACAUGGGGAGGGGGAAGUUGUGAUUUUCAGGUAGUUUGCUUUUUAUAGUACUGUCCUACUAAAUAGCUCCAACACGUUGCUAACAUUAAUUAAACCUCACAAACCCUUGAGAUACGUAAUUACUAUAAUUAAACUGAUAUUCCAGAUCAGUAAAAUGAGACUUAGAAUGCCCAAGGUCAUAG